Long non-coding RNA from Thunnus maccoyii (southern bluefin tuna), 2452 nucleotides. RefSeq lists it as uncharacterized. The transcript has 3 exons. The record is from RefSeq and is a predicted model, not a curated record. Lineage: Eukaryota; Metazoa; Chordata; Actinopteri; Scombriformes; Scombridae.
UUUUAAAUUGAUGUCAAUGGUUUUCAAGUGUGGCCAAAAAUUGUGUGUAUGUCAGAUGCAGCUGAAUCUGACACAUUGACAUUAUAACCAGAUGCAGAAAUGGACCCUUUCUCAAACGAAUGCAUUGCGUUUUUGCAGGAAUCUGUGUGUGUGCAGUCAGAGGUGCAGUCUCACAGAAAUACACACACCCCAUCUGCAGGCCUGCAUCUGAACCUGCAGGACAACAGGUCAACAGAGACACACACACUCUGAGGAACAGAGGUCACCCACUGGGUCAGAAAGAGGCUUCAUCAUCACUGUCACAGCAGGAAGAGGAGGAGGAGGCAGUGGAGGAGGAAAAAGAGAAGCAGAGUGGGUGGAAGGAUGGAAGGAGAGAAGGAUGGAAGCAGUUCGAGGAGGUGGUUCGAAGCGGGUGAACCCAGAGCAGGUGAACACAGCUGUGGAUCGCCAUGGGCUCUCUGGCUGCCUUCCUCCUGUGGCCCCGGCGCUGCAUACAGGGGUCCCGGGGAGCCGGCAGGGGCCAGCCAAAGCUGCGGCAGAGUGGGCAGGCUAGGCCAGCCAAGCCAGGAGAGAGGCAGGUGAGGCGGGUGAGCCGAGCUCUCAUCCCCGCCGGCUAGGAGCCUCCGCGGCAGAGUGGAGCAGCGCGGAGCAGCAGAAAUCAAUACAGAGGAGAGAGGCUAGCAGAGGUUGCCCAGCACCGCCUGCAGGCCUCGGAGCCCAGGGACCAACCACCACCACUGCUCCCAGCUCCUCUCUCCAUCUUUCUUUCUAUCUUUCUCCAACAGUCCCAGCACCAGCCAGGGCCAGGGCCCUAACCCUGCAACCGCCCCACACGCAGUGUGUGUGUCAGUACAUGCACAUGUGUGUGUGAAAUAGAGAGAAAAAGGGAGAGGGAAGAGACAGAGAGAGUGAGUCUUUGUGUGUGGUUCAGCCAGAGGGGUUUUUGCUGCGUCUAACACCACUUGAUAAAACUUUGUCAGAGAGACACGGAGACGGCGAGGGAGGGAGAGAAACGGAAGAAGAACACAGGACGUCGAAGGUCUCUUCUCCUCCAACCCCCUCCCUCUUAUUACUCAUUCCACCUUAACUGUUUGAGCAAGAAUUCAUCGGAGAUGGUGCACAGGACAUUUCUGCUCAGUCCCACUUCCAAGCAGAUAGCGCACAAUAUUCGUAAGAUCUCACGAGCCAGGAUGAAAGGACAAUUUGAACUUUUUCUCUCAUCCACUGUAUCAGACACAGCCUGUCUUUUCGCCUUAGAUUUUCUCACCCUCACUACAGCAACUCCCAUCAGAGGAUAUGGCAGUGCAGUAUUGAUCUAUAAGGUGGAAGAGAGGAAGGAGGGCCCGGGCUUUCAUACCUCUCUCUCUCUCUGUGUGUGUGUGGAAAUAGCACCUGAAGUCCACUUACUGCUGUGCAGCAGGAAUCCCGUGGCAGCAGAAAUGACUGGCUGCUAAUUGAAUGAGAGUUGAAAAGGACAGUAGUUCUACCUGUUCAGUAUCACCCCCUCCUCCUGUCUAAUACUACUUAGUUUUUCAUCCAUUUUUCUCCUCCACACUUACAAAAGUCCUUCUCCACACAGAUAUUUUAGCAAAAUUGCUAGUGGCUUAAGAAAAUUGGCUAAGGAAUGAAAAUACCUGGCCUAACAUCAGCACAGAGGUGAAAGCCUUCAGUAGAAACCAGAGAGGAGAAACAAGUUAUUUUUUCAUACAGGGAUAGAAACAUCCCGCUGAAAACUUCAGUUCUGAGAGGUCAUGCCACAAAACAAACUGUACGCAUCUGUGGACUUGGAAGGACAUUAAAGACAGCCGGACAGUUGAUCAAGCAUUAAACCUACAGAGAUCACAACGGAAUUCAUACCUUUUGAUGCAGUCAGGAAUGCCACCAUGGAGCUGAAAAGUAGCGAUCAAGCUUCCACCGUUGGACCGCACACAAAAAAAGCGAACACACUGUCUGUAGCCAGUGUCUCUGAACAUGUUUAGCCUUGGCCGCAUAUGGGAAAAUGCCACCUCGAUAUGUGCAAGAAUAGCCAGUUAGACACACAUCAUUAGAGUCUGAUUAUCACUUGUCUGGUCUGCGGUCUUUGUGGAUGUGGACAGGUAAGUUGGAGCCGCUUCUAAAAGGUAAGUUUGGAGGUUGAAUCAAUUUAAGAGCUGUCUGAAGUGUAAAAUGGAGCAAUAUUUUUCAAAAUUAGUUUCAUUAGAUAUGAAUUACUAUAUUUGAGACCAAUUUUCGGUCGCAGAUUGGAUGAGACCCCAAGGGGUCCUUCUUUUCACUCAGUAAUUUACAUUCAAGUAUUUGACUGGAAAACCAUUUGACAAGAGUUUGUCGCUGUUGAAUUACUUUCCUCUUUUCUGUGGGACAUUAUGUACACAUACAUAUUUAUACAUUAUUUUUCAUAAUGUAAUGAAUUAACUUAUCAUAAAACAGUGAAUGAGAUUGUCAAAUGCCAAAA